UACGAAGGGUGCAAGCGUUACUCGGAAUUACUGGGCGUAAAGCGUGCGUAGGCGGUUUCGUAAGUCGGAUGUGAAAGCCCUCGGCUCAACCGGGGAAGUGCACCCGAAACUGCGGAACUAGAGUCUCGGAGAGGGAAGUGGAAUUCCCGGUGUAGUGGUGAAAUGCGUAGAUAUCGGGAGGAACACCAGUGGCGAAGGCGACUUCCUGGCCUGUUCUUGACGCUGAGGCGCGAAAGCUAGGGGAGCAAACGGG
This 253-nucleotide ribosomal RNA is filed under the name uncultured bacterium. RNAcentral's name for it is "partial 16S ribosomal RNA". It matches the Rfam family "Bacterial small subunit ribosomal RNA", at positions 524 to 776 of the family's 1533-position model. The record is from RNAcentral.